UUGAGUAUGCAAUGCAAUUGGAAAAAUUAUAUCACAGUUUGAACAAUCAUACUUUAUUUGAAAGAUGAGCCAAAGUUGCAUAUACUAAAUUAAAAAAAAAAAAAACAUCAUUCCUCAGCCUGGCAGGAAGCCUUUUGGCUGCAGCUGUAAAAUUUCAUUAGAAAACAAUUGAGAAACAUAUGGAGUAAUGCACUGUUACUUUGAGCAAAAGGUUUAUUUCAUAUUUCUACUGCCUUGUAGAUGCAACUUUCCCAUGGUAGUCAUCUGGAGUGUUCUCCUGUCAAGAAGUCAACUUUAGUUUCCAUUGUUUGUGGAUCACAAUUACAAUGGUGUUAAGGAGUUUUAGGCUUUCAAAUAAUCAGCCCCUGAGGGAUUUUAGGUGUCAGUUAUGGUAUCAGAAGUCUCUUUUAAAGGGAUUUUCUUUGGGAAAAAAUGCCUUCUACAAAUAGGGGCUCCUAUGUCAUGUGAAUGCAAAAGUGGACCUCCCCAGGUGCCUGGAAUCCCACUCUAGAUACAUUGCUUUCAAGUACAAAAAGUUCUCUGUCUCCAAGGACCCUUCUGAAAAUGUAGAUCCUGGGAUGAAUAACACCUUGGAAGAUAUAUCAGAUAGCUAAGAAUAAGGCGCUGGCACAGGAUGGCACAGCUAAGACAUUCAGCCUGUUUGAGCUUUAUUCAUUUCAUCUGCAAAAUGAGGAGACUCUGUGACUAAGCAAUAAUAAUAAUAAGAGCUUCAAAGUUUACAAAAUUCAAUGACUUAUCUCCUUUGACUCUCACAACUACUCUGUGAGGGAAGCUAUGUAUAUUUUGUCACUGUUUUACUGAUGAAGAAAAAUUGCCCCAAAUCACUUAUAUAAUUAAUGGAUCAACAAGGACUGAACCCAACACUUCUGAUUUUCUAACAAUCUAUGAUUUUGUGAUUGAAGAUGUCCUGGAAGAUGUCAGACUGCCAGGAGAGGAAAAAAGUGCUCAAAAAGAGAAGCAGAAGGACAUUGACUUUGCUGUGGGCUAUCCCUAUUUAGAGAAAAAUGGAAGGUUUCGACCUGGUAGAUGAUCUUGUUGAAAUGUUCUGUCUCCUAAGGAAUAGACCACAGAAUGGUCUCAUGGGUAUACAUGAUCCCCAUCUACCGCUUCUAGUGUAGUAAAGUGAAGAUGUCAUAGAAAAAGAGAAUCAAACAAAAUGAAAAGGUAAAUCAGCCCAGAAUAGUAUUUACUGAGCAUUCAUUUCCUACACAAAAUAUUAGACAGAGCAGUGAAUAUUUUUUUAUUAUAGCAAUGUCAGUGGCUUGAAAAUCCAUAACAUGCUUGCAUAUUACAAUUUUCAUACAUCUUUUCACUCUUGCAGCUAAUUUGAAGGCACAAAAAUGGGCAUAUUAAGUUUUAUAAACUUUGGAAAGCCCAUAAACAUGAAAAUUGGAUAGUUUGCCAAACAUUGCGCAACACUAUGUUGCCAUUGAAACAAUGAAGUCACUGUUAAAUAGUUAUGUGUAUAUUGGCUGAGGUUUCCAUGUACCUAUUUACUUUGUCACAAAUAAAAUACCAGGUGAAAGACAAAUGAUGUGUUUGAUGUGCUUUGUUUCACAUGCAGCAAACAACUUUUACAUGUGACAUACAUUUUAUAUUUCUGUUUUU
This 1629-nucleotide long non-coding RNA is filed under the name Sarcophilus harrisii (Tasmanian devil). RNAcentral's name for it is "lncRNA (ENSSHAG00000024594.1)". The record is from RNAcentral. Lineage: Eukaryota; Metazoa; Chordata; Mammalia; Dasyuromorphia; Dasyuridae.